AACGAACGCUGGCGGCAGGCCUAACACAUGCAAGUCGAGCGCGCCCUUCGGGGUGAGCGGCGGACGGGUGAGUAGCGCGUGGGAACGUGCCCUUUUCUACGGAAUAGCCUCGGGAAACUGAGAGUAAUACCGUAUACGCCCUUUUGGGGAAAGAUUUAUCGGAAAAGGAUCGGCCCGCGUUGGAUUAGGUAGUUGGUGGGGUAAUGGCCUACCAAGCCGACGAUCCAUAGCUGGUUUGAGAGGAUGAUCAGCCACACUGGGACUGAGACACGGCCCAGACUCCUACGGGAGGCAGCAGUGGGGAAUCUUAGACAAUGGGGGCAACCCUGAUCGAGCCAUGACGCGUGAGUGAUGAAGGCAGUAGGGUUGUAAAGCUCUUUCAGCUGGGAAGAUAAUGACGGUACCAGCAGAAGAAGCCCCGGCUAACUCCGUG
RNAcentral lists this ribosomal RNA (433 nucleotides) under uncultured bacterium. RNAcentral's name for it is "partial 16S ribosomal RNA". It matches the Rfam family "Bacterial small subunit ribosomal RNA", at positions 29 to 507 of the family's 1533-position model. The record is from RNAcentral.